AACGAACGCUGGCGGCGUGGAUGAGGCAUGCAAGUCGAACGAUCAUUUGCGUGUAGCAAUAUAUGCAAAUGGGAGUGGCGUAAGGGUGAGUAACACGUGGGUAAUCUACCUCCAUGUUGGGGAUAACCCGGCGAAAGCUGGUCUAAUACCGAAUGUGGCAAUCUGUCGCAUGACAGAAAAUCUAAAGGCGGGACCGCAAGGCCUGUCGCAUGGGGAUGAGCCCACGCCCUAUCAGCUUGUUGGUGAGGUAACGGCUCACCAAGGCUUACGGGUAGCUGGUCUGAGAGGAUGGUCAGCCACACUGGGACUGAGACACUGCCCAGACUCCUACGGGAGGCUGCAGUCGAGAAUCUUUCGCAAUGGGCGCAAGCCUGACGAAGCGACGCCGCGUGUAGGAUGAAGGCCUGGUU
RNAcentral lists this ribosomal RNA (410 nucleotides) under uncultured bacterium. RNAcentral describes it as "partial 16S ribosomal RNA". It matches the Rfam family "Bacterial small subunit ribosomal RNA", at positions 29 to 424 of the family's 1533-position model. The record is from RNAcentral.